GCGCGAUUGGCGCAAGCGGUAGCGCGCUUCCCUGACACGGAAGAGGUCACUGGUUCGAUCCCAGUAUCGCGCA
RNAcentral lists this transfer RNA (73 nucleotides) under Microbacterium elymi. Its description in RNAcentral is "Microbacterium sp. KUDC0405 tRNA-Val". It matches the Rfam family "tRNA". From Rfam's summary of the family: Transfer RNA (tRNA) molecules are approximately 80 nucleotides in length. Their secondary structure includes four short double-helical elements and three loops (D, anti-codon, and T loops). The record is from RNAcentral. Lineage: Bacteria; Bacillati; Actinomycetota; Actinomycetes; Micrococcales; Microbacteriaceae.